UCAAAAACAUGGUCUAUUGAUUAUAAUUUUAGGUUUGACCUGCCCACUGAAGUUUUAAAUGGCCGCAGUAUUUUGACUGUGCUAAGGUAGCAUAAUCAUUAGUUUCUUAAUUAGAAGCUGGAAUGAAUGGUUUUAUGAAAAAAUAUCUGUCUCUAUUUAAAUUUUUUAGAAUUUUAUUUUUUAGUUAAAAAGCUAAAAUAGGUUUGAAAGACGAGAAGACCCUAUAGAGUUUGAUAAUUUUUUACUUUAUAUUUAUAAGAAUUUUAAAUUUUAAAUUUAAAAUAUUAUUUAAUUGGGGUGAUUAAAAAAUUAAUUUAACUUUUUUUGUUAAAGUACAUUGAUUUAUGAAUUUUUGAUCCAUUUUUUAUGAUUAAAAGUUAAAAUUACCUUAGGGAUAACAGCGUAAUUUUUUCAAAGAGUUCUUAUCGAAGAAAAAGAUUGCGACCUCGAUGUUGGAUUAAAAUUAACUUUUGGUGUAGAAGUUAAAUAAUAGUUAGGUCUGUUCGACCUUUAAAAUUUUACAUGAUCUGA
This 531-nucleotide ribosomal RNA is filed under the name Conicobruchus medaniensis. RNAcentral describes it as "partial 16S ribosomal RNA". It matches the Rfam family "Bacterial large subunit ribosomal RNA", at positions 1807 to 2608 of the family's 2925-position model. Lineage: Eukaryota; Metazoa; Arthropoda; Insecta; Coleoptera; Chrysomelidae. The record is from RNAcentral.